UCUCAAUCCCAUCAGCUCAAACGAAAUCUGUCUCCUUUAUUUCCGAAUUUGUGUAAGUUGUUUUCGUUUGGACUCUCCUUAGAACUGUUGAUAAGAUUCAUUUUUUAUUUGUAUACAUACUGAUUUGCUGUUUUGGAAUGUGGAGGAGACAUGAGAUUUUACGGAGGAGACAGAAGAUUUGGCAGAGGAGAAGGAGGCGCCACCACCUCCAUCUGUUGAUUAUAUCUUAGAUCUGUUGAUAAAAUUCAUCUUGUAUGUGUUUACAUACUGAUUUGUUUUUUUAGAAUGUGGAGGAGACAUGAGAUUCUAUGGAGGAGACGGAAGAUUUGGCUCGAACGGUGGCUCCAACACAAGAUUGAAUCAUUUCUUCAGCCAUAGCAUCCAGAGCGGGUUGAGGCGUCGGUGUAGAAGAAGUGGUAUGUGACUGAAAGAUGGUGACGUUGAAGCGCUGUGGUGACGGAUACGAAGGCGCAGCUGAUAUGCGGCUUAGGUUUAGGUUUUGUUAAUUAGGUUUGGUUUAAUGUGUGUUUAAUUAGUUUUGGUUUAAUGUGUUAUGGUGUAUUUAAUUUUUUAAUUCUGGUUUAGUGUUAUAUUUAUUUGUAAUUUAAGUUUUAAUUAAUAAAUAAAAAUUUAUUUUUAAUUACAAAUUAAUGUUUGCAUUUAAUUUUAAAUUAUUUUUUAAAAAUUAAUCAAAUUUAAUUAAUUAAUUAAUUAAAUUUAAGUAUUUUAUUUUAAAUUAUAGCAUUGUAUUUAUGUCAUUAUAAAAUAUUUUACAGCACUAAAAAAAGCCAUAAAAAGCUACGUAAUAGCACAAAUCAAAUGCUAUAAACGACUAUCGUUAGCUCACGAUUAACGCUAUAACAUCUCAAUUUAACAUAGCACACGAAAAAAUGCUAUGAUAGGGAGGGGGUCUAUUAUAGCUGCGGCUGUCACGGCGUUCUUCGAAACGCUACGAAAACGAUAUGGUAGCACAUUCUCGACGCUACUAAUACCAAUAUUUCUUGUACUGUGCGGUUCAAUUUGUUCUCCAGCUAGAUAUGAAGGAGGAGUGUCUCUCACAACCCUUUUGUGCCUAAACAAAUUCUUGUUUCUUCGGUAAGGAUGACCAAUGGGAAGAAAUCGACGGUGACAAUCAAACCAACUUGUCUUCCUACCAUUCUUCAGUUGAAACGCAUAUGUCGUUCCAUUACAAUAUGGACAAAAAUCUUAAAUCUAUACCCUAAAUAUAAUACCCUAAACCCCAAACUUAAAUCUUACAUACAAAGUCAUAAAUCUAUUUUUUUAAUUUAUAAUAUAAAUUUUAAACUUAGACUCCAAAUAUAUUCUAAAACUCAAACCAUAUACUUAAUUAUAAAUCUUAACCCUAAACCCUAAACCACAUACUUCAUAUUAACCUACAUCAUAAAUCCUAAUUUACAAAUUUCAAAAAUUUAAAUUGUACUCUAAUUUCUAACAUAUACACUAUAACUGUGAACUCUAAAUACAAAAUCUAAAUUUUAAAUUUAAUCAAAUACAUAUACUAUAAAUGCCAAACACCAAACCCUACAUCAAACCCUAUUCUUCAAAUUGAUACUCAAACUCUAAAUCCUUUUAUAACAAUUCUUAAUUUUUUUAAAGAAAAUCAUAAUUAUAUAUCAUAAUUGAUAUUUUUGCAAUUACAAAUUGUAAUUACUGAAAUUAACCAUCACUUAAUCUUCAAACAUUAGUCUUUGUAAAUAUAUAAAAUGAUAUGUCAAACUUAAUAAGAUUAAAUAAAAUAAAAUAAAAAGAAAGAAUUGUGUGGUACAAACUACAAUCUCUAUCUCACCUCCUUUUACGUUAUUCUUCUUUUUUUUAAUAGCAAUCCUAGUGAUUCUUUUCUAUUGGCUAAUACAAAAAAGUGGGGAUAACUUCUUUUUUAACCUUAACCGUUGAUGAAUUUAAUAUAAAGGACAUAAAUAUUUGCUUUUUUUUUUAAUGGUUUCCUCUCUUUCUCGAUCUCUGCUCCUCUUCUCUUCUACUGUCGUAAACCUGAAAAAAAAAUGAAUCCAUCUCUUCUUCUUCUCUGGAAUAACUAAGAAACCCAGAAAAAUUCUCCAUCUUUUACGAAGGACUCCACUUCUCACCUCGUUGGUUCAUGUCUCAAUCCCAUCAGCUCAAACGAAAUCUGUCUCCUUUAUUUCCGAAUUUGUGUAAGUUGUUUUCGUUUGGACUCUCCUUAGAACUGUUGAUAAGAUUCAUUUUUUAUUUGUAUACAUACUGAUUUGCUGUUUUGGAAUGUGGAGGAGACAUGAGAUUUUACGGAGGAGACAGAAGAUUUGGCAGAGGAGAAGGAGGCGCCACCACCUCCAUCUGUUGAUUAUAUCUUAGAUCUGUUGAUAAAAUUCAUCUUGUAUGUGUUUACAUACUGAUUUGUUUUUUUAGAAUGUGGAGGAGACAUGAGAUUCUAUGGAGGAGACGGAAGAUUUGGCUCGAACGGUGGCUCCAACACAAGAUUGAAUCAUUUCUUCAGCCAUAGCAUCCAGAGCGGGUUGAGGCGUCGGUGUAGAAGAAGUGGUAUGUGACUGAAAGAUGGUGACGUUGAAGCGCUGUGGUGACGGAUACGAAGGCGCAGCUGAUAUGCGGCUUAGGUUUAGGUUUUGUUAAUUAGGUUUGGUUUAAUGUGUGUUUAAUUAGUUUUGGUUUAAUGUGUUAUGGUGUAUUUAAUUUUUUAAUUCUGGUUUAGUGUUAUAUUUAUUUGUAAUUUAAGUUUUAAUUAAUAAAUAAAAAUUUAUUUU
Molecule: long non-coding RNA, 2756 nt
Filed under: Brassica napus (rape)
Lineage: Eukaryota; Viridiplantae; Streptophyta; Magnoliopsida; Brassicales; Brassicaceae
Description: long non-coding RNA (BNAP_LNC012906)
Source: RNAcentral